This 278-nucleotide long non-coding RNA is filed under the name Cyanistes caeruleus (blue tit). RNAcentral's name for it is "lncRNA (ENSCCEG00000016478.1)". Lineage: Eukaryota; Metazoa; Chordata; Aves; Passeriformes; Paridae. The record is from RNAcentral.
UAGCAUCUCUGAGGACUGGAAGUUGAACUCCCAGUGAGACAAGGUCUGGAGAGAGAGAGAGAAACCACUGCAAGAACAGAAGCCAGCACAAGAAGAGAUGAAUAGCCAACAGGCAAGUGAAAUUAGCCCUCUCUUCUCCCCCACUGCGAACUUCACUGCAAACAUAACUCAAGCCCCCCCAGCCUCUCGGCCAAAGACACUAAAGCUGUUUUAAAAGGCAGAAAGAGGAGUCUAGAUUUGAAGUGACUUUCUUGCUUUGACCCGACGUUCAAGCAGCG